RNAcentral lists this unclassified non-coding RNA (379 nucleotides) under uncultured Oligoflexales bacterium. RNAcentral describes it as "contains 16S-23S intergenic spacer region". Lineage: Bacteria; Pseudomonadati; Bdellovibrionota; Oligoflexia; Oligoflexales. The record is from RNAcentral.
UCCGUGUUAACCACGGCAGUCUCCUUAGAGUGCCCAACUUAAUGCUGGCAACUAAGAACAAGGGUUGCGCUCGUUGCGGGACUUAACCCAACAUGUCACCACACGAGCUGACGACAGCCAUGCAGCACCUGUCUCCCAGUAGUAUUGCUACUAAAGCUAUAUCUCUAUAGCGGUCCGGGGAUGUCAAACCCAGGUAAGGUUUUUCGCGUUGCUUCGAAUUAAACCACAUGAUCCACCGCUUGUGCGGGCCCCCGUCAAUUCCUUUGAGUUUUAGUCUUGCGACCGUACUUCCCAGGCGGGGUACUUAUUGCGUUAGCUCCGACUCGGCGGGGGUCAAGUCCCUCCAAGUCUAGUACCCAUCGUUUACAGCGUGGACUAC